Hevea brasiliensis (rubber tree) is the source of this 276-nucleotide long non-coding RNA. RefSeq lists it as uncharacterized. Lineage: Eukaryota; Viridiplantae; Streptophyta; Magnoliopsida; Malpighiales; Euphorbiaceae. The transcript is spliced from 2 exons. The record is from RefSeq and is a predicted model, not a curated record.
UUGUUGCAUGAGCCGUGGGUGUUUGAUAACUCUCAAUAUUGAAGGCCCUUAAGCUGAAACUGUUGUGGUUGUGACACCAAAACAGAAGAAUAUUAUUGAUCUUUUAUGAGAAAAGAGCUUGUUUCGCUGAUAUCAGUUACAUGAUAGUCUAUAACUUAAUUGAUUUGUCUUCCUCUUGCUUGUAUAAAUUAUCAAUUGAGUUAUUCAACACUCGUUGUUUAAUAACAUGAUCAGCCUGGUGGUAAGCAAUAUGAUUUGAUAUCUUCCCUUGGAAUA